CUUAUGCCGGCGACCGGCGGACGGGUGCGUAACGCGUAUGUAACCUACCUUUGACAGGGGGAUAACAUCGAGAAAUUGGUACUAAUACCCCAUAACAUCACCGGAGGUAUCUUCGGUGGUUGAAAACUCAGGUGGUCAGAGAUGGACAUGCGUUGUAUUAGCUAGUUGGUGAGGUAACGGCUCACCAAGGCGACGAUACAUAGGGGGACUGAGAGGUCAACCCCCCCACAUUGGUACUGAGACACGGACCAAACUCCUACGGAAGGCAGCAG
This 272-nucleotide ribosomal RNA is filed under the name uncultured bacterium. Its description in RNAcentral is "partial 16S ribosomal RNA". It matches the Rfam family "Bacterial small subunit ribosomal RNA", at positions 78 to 354 of the family's 1533-position model. The record is from RNAcentral.